CAGCCGCCGCGGGAAUACAUAGGGUGCAAGCGUUAAUCGGAAUUACUGGGCGUAAAGCGUGCGCAGGCGGUUUGUUAAGACAGAUGUGAAAUCCCCGGGCUCAACCUGGGAACUGCAUUUGUGACUGGCAAGCUAGAGUGUGGCAGAGGGGGGUGGAAUUCCGCGUGUAGCAGUGAAAUGCGUAGAUAUGCGGAGGAACACCGAUGGCGAAGGCAGCCCCCUGGGCCAACACUGACGCUCAUGCACGAAAGCGUGGGGAGCAAACAGGAUUAGAUACCCCCGUAGUCCCUGUCUCUUAUAC
This 301-nucleotide ribosomal RNA is filed under the name uncultured bacterium. RNAcentral's name for it is "partial 16S ribosomal RNA". It matches the Rfam family "Bacterial small subunit ribosomal RNA", at positions 509 to 807 of the family's 1533-position model. The record is from RNAcentral.